This is a long non-coding RNA of Aricia agestis (brown argus), 71 nucleotides long. RefSeq lists it as uncharacterized. The record is from RefSeq and is a predicted model, not a curated record. The transcript is spliced from 3 exons. Lineage: Eukaryota; Metazoa; Arthropoda; Insecta; Lepidoptera; Lycaenidae.
AAGGUUUGGAGAAGAUGGACGAAAACACUUCUCUUGCAGCUGCCGUAGUUCUCUGUGCUAUGAGCUUAUUA